CCUACGGGCGGCAGCAGUGAGGAAUAUUGGUCAAUGGUCGGGAGACUGAACCAGCCAAGCCGCGUGAGGGAUGAAGGUACAGAGUAUCGUAAACCUCUUUUGUCAGGGAACAAAGGCGGGGACGCGUCCCCGGAUGAGUGUACCUGAAGAAAAAGCAUCGGCUAACUCCGUGCCAGCAGCCGCGGUAAUACGGAGGAUGCGAGCGUUAUCCGGAUUUAUUGGGUUUAAAGGGUGCGCAGGCGGGUGGUUAAGUCAGCGGGCAAAGCCCGGGGCUCAACCCCGGCCCGCCGUUGAAACUGGCAGUCUCGAGUAGGAUAGAAGUAGGCGGAAUGCGCGGUGUAGCGGUGAAAUGCAUAGAUAUCGCGCAGAACUCCGAUUGCGAAGGCAGCAUGCCGGCUCCACACUGACGCUGAGGCACGAAAGCGUGGGUAUCGAACAGGAUUAGAUACCCUGGUAGUC
Molecule: ribosomal RNA, 459 nt
Filed under: uncultured bacterium
Lineage: Bacteria
Description: partial 16S ribosomal RNA
Rfam family: Bacterial small subunit ribosomal RNA
Source: RNAcentral